UACAGAGGGUGCGAGCGUUGUCCGGAAUCACUGGGCGUAAAGGGCGCGUAGGCGGCCCUCCUUGUCGCGUGUGAAAGCCCCGGGCUCAACCUGGGAACGGCGCGCGAGACGGGGGGGCUGGAGUUCGGGAGAGGAGCGUGGAAUUCCCAGUGUAGAGGUGAAAUUCGUAGAUAUUGGGAAGAACACCGGUGGCGAAGGCGGCGCUCUGGACCGAGACUGACGCUGAGGCGCGAAAGCGUGGGGAGCAAACAGG
RNAcentral lists this ribosomal RNA (253 nucleotides) under uncultured bacterium. RNAcentral's name for it is "partial 16S ribosomal RNA". It matches the Rfam family "Bacterial small subunit ribosomal RNA", at positions 524 to 776 of the family's 1533-position model. The record is from RNAcentral.